RNAcentral lists this transfer RNA (72 nucleotides) under Gordonia sp. (in: high G+C Gram-positive bacteria). Its description in RNAcentral is "Gordonia sp. tRNA-Ala". The record is from RNAcentral. Lineage: Bacteria; Bacillati; Actinomycetota; Actinomycetes; Mycobacteriales; Gordoniaceae.
AGACCUGUAGCUCAAGCGGUAAAGCACCAAGAGCAAUCGUGGUCGCGGGUUCGAGUCCCGAGAGGUCUACCA